GUAGUCAUAUGCUUGUCUCAAAGAUUAAGCCAUGCAUGUCUAAGUAUAAGCACUCAUACUGUGAAACUGCGAAUGGCUCAUUAAAUCAGUUAUCGUUUAUUUGAUAGUACCUUUACCUGGAUAACCGUGGUAAUUCUAGAGCUAAUACAUGCUAAAAAUCCCGACUUCGGAAGGGAUGUAUAUAUUAGAUAAAAAACCAAUACCCUUCGGGGCUCCUUGGUGAUUCAUAAUAACUCAACGAAUCGCAUGGCCUUACGCCGGCGAUGGUUCAUUCAAAUUUCUGCCCUAUCAACUUUCGAUGGUAGGAUAGUGGCCUACCAUGGUCUCAACGGGUAACGGGGAAUG
Molecule: ribosomal RNA, 345 nt
Filed under: uncultured fungus
Lineage: Eukaryota; Fungi
Description: SSU rRNA
Rfam family: Eukaryotic small subunit ribosomal RNA
Source: RNAcentral